UCUCAAAGUAUAGCUGCAAGUUGGACCGACCGCACAGGUCUCCUGGGUCAUUCGACUCGGAGCGGCGGGGUUUCAGCCGGGCCGCGUCCGGGAGAAGCAGCGGAGACCCCAGCAGGCGGGCGCCGUCCGACAGAUUUACCGUCUGCGUCGGCCCCCGGGGAGCCGCUCCCCCGCUCCCGCAGCACUUGUUCUGGGCGCGGACUCCAAACGGAGGCCGCCGGCCCCAGGGGAGGAGUGAGCCCGCCCCAGCAGCGCCACCCAAAGGACCCGGGGCAGGGUUCGGGGCCAUCCGCGGCCGGGCGCGCCCCCCACCCGGAAAGCGGCGACGGCCCCAAGUUGGGCUGCGGAGUGGGAGGCGCGCCGAGCCCCAGGCAGACAAUACGGGAGAAGGGUGAUGCGCAGAGAGGAGGGGUCCGCAAAGAAGAGGCCGAGGAUCUGACCAGCCGCCUGCAGUAUUUCCGACGGCAUGUGGGAGAGUUGGAGAGGGAGCAGAAGAAGGCAAAUAGGGUGAGUCAACCACCUAACCAUGUCGUGGCAGCCCGGCUUUCCAGAUGGAGGAGUGAGCCUAAAGGUCCCUUCUGCAGGAAGGCAUGUCCCACCCAGAAGGCAGCAUGGGCCAUUUCUCACUGCUUUUGUGUGUGGUCAUUAGAGGCAGUUGGCUGCUGUGGGUGAGUUGGAGGGCACUGAGGGGAGCAAGUAUUGGACACAGAGCUUGGAGGCCAAAUGCUUGCCCUGCCCUUACCUGACUGUGGCAUUGACCAAGUCCUAGGUGGGGGUUACGAUACUUGUACCAUAAAGAUACAGAAGAUUAUCUUUAAUAUGUUACCAUUUGUGUAGACAGUGGGAACACAUGUGUGUGUGUGUGUGUGUGUGUUAGUGUGUGUGUGUGUACUAUGAAACUAUACAUAAAACAUGUCUGCAAGGAUUGGUAAAAAACUCAGGAGAGGCCGGGUGCGGUGGCUUAAGCCUGUAAUCCCAGCACUUUGGGAGGCCGAGACGGGCGGAUCACAAGGUCAGGAGAUCGAGACCAUCCUGGCUAACAGUGAAACCCGUCUCUACUAAAAAAUACCAAAAAAAAACUAGCCGGGCAGGGUGGCGGGCCUGUAGUCCCGGCUACCGGGAGGCUGAAGAGGCAGGAGAAUGGCCGAGAACCGGGAGGCGGAGCUUGCAGUGAGCUGAGAUCCAGCCACAGCACUCAGCCUGGGUGACAGAAGCGGUGUCUCAAAA
RNAcentral lists this long non-coding RNA (1227 nucleotides) under Papio anubis (olive baboon). RNAcentral describes it as "lncRNA (ENSPANG00000042714.1)". Lineage: Eukaryota; Metazoa; Chordata; Mammalia; Primates; Cercopithecidae. The record is from RNAcentral.